AAAUGUGCAUUAAGUUUAUAGGAAUUGCUUGGAAACUAUUUGAUGCAUUGACUACCUUGAUAUCCAUGCCUUUAUAGAUACUUUGAUGAAGUAUCAAAAUAUGAUUUAAAAAAAUGCUUAGCCCUGCUUAGAUCUUGUGGAUAGAGGUUGUCUUUUGCAAUAAUGCCUAGCUCAAGGGUUAUCCUAAGGAAGGAUGACUUCUACCUGCAAGAAUAUUUUCAUUGGGAGCAUGGUGGGAUCUUACUGCAAAGUUCCCUAUAAUGCUCUUUUCAUCCUUAGGAACACAAAACAAUCCUAAGGGUGGAAGUACUUAGCUUGAGACUUGGGCUAGGAACAGGUGAUGCUCCACCCAGGUUAAUUAAGGAUUGGAUGCGUAUGUAGGCCUGUAUGAUCAAGGACUAUCUUAACUGGCCACAUGCCCUAGAUAUGGGAUAGGGUAAGCUUGAACCCGGCUAUUCCAUACGUGAGAAGACAACCUCGCACUGGGCAUGGGAGAUGGUGGGAGUAGCGUGUACCCUCCUGGCUAGAGGCUGGACGGAGGAGUACUGUGCUCCCGGGUAGCGCGAACCGGUUCACAUUAUGGAAGAUCUGUGGGAAUGGUUGACAUAUGCAAGGGUUAAGUGCUACAUAUGUCGUGUGGUUAGAGAUCCUCAGCUGAGUAAAUCGAUUCGGAUCGUCGUUAUAUCCCCGGAUAGUGGAGACUUGAUCUCUGACCUGCAACCUAGGUCAGGAUGUAAACAUUAUGAAUAAAAAUGAUGUUGUAUUGAUAAGAUGGUGAAAUUAGACUAGAUGCAACCAGAGUUUAUUAAUAUUUAAUAUGGCGUUAAAAUAUUGAAAGUAAGGACUCACUUUAAUAAGCUAUUUCCGCAAAAGUAUCUAAGUUGUUUGCUAAAGCCUUUUCCUUGAUUACUAUUUAACCAGCAUAUCCUUGAGAGUCAUUUUUCCUUAGUCGGGUAAGACUGCGAAAGUACACUUCGUACUCAGGGUUUUCGAACACAUGUUGUUGUAGGUGUUGAGGAGUACUCUAAGUGAUUCAGAGGCUGGAGGGCAUUUCCAGUUUUAGGGGAGGAUUAGUUAGGCUUGUGUAUAAGCUUUGGAGGGUUCCUACCUUCCUGCUAUUGUAAUAAGUUAUGCACUUUAUGUAUAUCAGGACUUGUAAUAAAUGUAACUCUUCCUAUGUAAUAACCUUCAGUUUUAGAAAUGAAAAGAAUGUUUUGUAAAGUCUUCCGCUCUUAUCUCCGAAGUGUGUGUGUAUCGAAUGUGAUUAUUGUAAUAUGCAUGUAUGGUGGGAGAUCCUUGGGAUGAUGAGUUCAAGUUGUUGAACUCGUGAUAGCCUUGUUAAGUUACCUGGUACACGUGCAUAGCCAUGUGAGGCCAUCAAGGCAAGGAUUGGUGCACGUGGGCCCGAUAACUUGGGAGGGCUGCCAUAGAGUGGUAUCACAGCGAUCCCCCAUUAUCAUGGAUAUUAAAGUAAUCCUUUGAUAAACUUCAAAAGAAUUUUGAGUUCAAAUUAUUUUGAAAAAAACGUAAGAAUAUGAUCAAAUCCUGAUAGUCGAAGUGCAAAUAGUAUAUAGUUAAGAUAAGAACUAUAAGGUGGCUUAGUUUAGGAUGCUAACCACUAACCCACAACUAUAAUGCAAUUUUCUGCAGGUACACUAACUAAAACCCUAGGAAAGUGCGACUAGAGAUCAAUGACGGAGUAAGUAGGAUUGCCACCGCCAUAGAACGUGAUAGCCACUAUGUGUUGGCAAGAAUUGUGAGGACGAAUAGGACGAGCAUGCAUCAUGACAUACAACUUUAAGUUAAACCCCCUAUGUAGUAGCUUAGUACAUGUUUCAUCCAUCCUAUUCAUGCUACCUAUCUUUGCUUUUCUAUACUACCUUUUCCUAUUCGUGAAGCCUUGAAACUCAGUUCAUUUGGUGGACCUGUAGUUUAUAAGGUACAGUUGCCAAAGAAUUUUUCAACAGUGCACGACAUGUUCUACGUGUCCCAGUUAAAGAAAUGUCUUCGAGUCCCCAAGCAUGUUAUUGAGAUUUCAGAUGUUAAACUUGGACCAGAUUUAACCUACUUGGAAUAUCCCAUAAAGGUGUUGGAUCUAAAGGAUCAGGUCACUCGAAGAAAAGCUAUCAAGUUUUACUAGAUAUAGUGGAACCAACACCUAGAAGAUAAGCCAUAUUGGAAUCGAUGGAGUAUUUAGAAAAACAUUUUCUUGAGUUCUUAGUUCCUUCUAAGCCCUAAGUUUUAUGUAGUUGUUUUUUUAUGUGAACCAACAAGGGUACACCCCCUAUCUUGUAGGUGUAAUGAGGAAAGAAACUGGUGACACGUUUCCUUUUCCAUUAUGUAACCUAGAGUUUUAAAUCUCGGGACGAGAUUUCUUUUUAGGGGGGAAGGCUGUAACACCCCUGGUGUUACGUGAACUAAAACUUGGACAUGUCAUCAUAAGCAUUUGCAUUAACUUGCUUGUUACACCUAGAAUGCAUUCACUAGGAUAAAAAUGUUACAAUAAGGCGAUGCUGUGUGCAGAGUAGAGGACCUAGUUAAGGACCUAAGCUAAACAGGAGUAGGUCAUCCCUUGAGCAAGUAAUAAACUUGACUUGGAGCCUUGAAGUGCUAAAGGCAAUUCCUAGAGUCUAUAGAAAAUUUGUUUUCAAAGAUAGAUCAAGUGGAAGAAAUACUUGGACCGAAGGAUUAACUUCAAAAUCCUAAGGCUUGAAAACCUUGAUUGGAAUUGAGUGUAAGCAAACAACUCCUAAAUCAAGGAUACUUUGGACCUGAGUUCUAUAAGACAAAGUUGGAUUUGAGAUUAAGGAGCAACUUUACUUUAGGAGGAUGGAUAAGUUUGCUUUUGAUAUGUGGAUUAGAAGUGGUGAAGUACUUAGGGUGGUUGAGUAUCUCUAACCCCUAAACUGGAGCCCAAAAGUGGAUUUGGAGAUCUAGCCACAUUUUGCAAGAGGUAAAAAUACCAAGUUGGUAGGAUUUCCAAAGUUGCACAAUUUUGUUAUUUGGAGAUUUCCAAGUUGUGUGGAGAAAUUUACAAAGGUUCAGUUUUGGAGUUCCUAAAAAUCGCAGCAACUAGACAAUUUUAAUCCUUUGUAACUUUUGAUCUAGAACCAUUUUGAAGAUGAUCGUUAUAAUAAAGUUAUAGAGCUACAUGAGGAGUAUAAGUUUGGUUAAGUCAUAUAGCUCUAAAACUAUUUGGAACUUUGAGUAAAACUGGUCCAAAGUAAAGUUGUCAAAAAUUGUGGAUUUCAGACUUAGUGAAAUUCAGAUUCUGAAUUUCAGCAAUUGGAGCAAACUUUGGGCUAUUGUAGUUUGGAAUUCAAGAGGUUUUGGUUAAUGGUCAAUAUAUCAAACUUGUAGACGAACUAUAGGAGUAUAAACUUUAUUAAGCAACUUUCCCCUAAAAACAUUUGGAACCCAGGAAAAAGAGUGGUUCCAAGUGGUGCUGGUGUGUUUCUGAAUUUUCAGAUUGGAAACAGUAACUGCAACUGAAUUUCAGUGUUUUGAUAGCAGUUUUGAAGCCUAUUUGUGGCUAUUCUACAAGGUUUUGUGUUUUGGUGUUUGUAGAAUAAGUGACGACCAUAUAAUGUGGAACAAACUUUCUUAUAGGGUGGUGGACCUGAUCCCAUACAAAAAGUGCAGAAAUAGUUGCUCAAAGAUUGGAUUGUCAAGUUGGUUAAUAACUGAAUUUUAAUUCAGUUCUGAAUCCUGAAUGGCAGCAAGUUGCCCAGUUUGGAGCUCUAUGAUAAUUAAUUUAUGGAGAUUUUGGUUAAGAGUUCUGUAGUAAAGGCAAAGUACAUAUGAAGGGGAACACUUUUUAUGCAAAGGGUUGACUUGUUACUGUGUAGAAUUUGGAGAAAAAGGAGUGACAAAAUGCUCUGUCAGGCUCAGUGUGAUGCCGUUUCAGAUUUCUGAAACUGAAUUUUCAGUGACAUUGGCUGUACUUUGGGGCACUGUAACUUUUGAUCCUUUCAUUUUUGGUCUUCGACUGCUGCAACAAACUAAUAGAGCUAUAGUUGGAGAAUGCUUUUGGUUGAAAGGGAUGGGUUUGUUGCCAUGGUGAUUUGUGCAAUAACAAGGCUUCAAUAGGGAGGUGCAGAUGGUGCAGCAGGGCUGUUUCAGUCACGUUCAGAGUUUGGUUUGGAAACUGAACAAGAUCAUCCCCUGCUGCUCGCCUUUGUUUGUGUUUAUAGGUUGAGAUGUGUAUGGAAUGGAUGCCUGAUGUCUAGAAGCCUCAAUCCCGACAGAAAGUAUCUAGUUUCGGAUUAAUUUGUGCUUGCUCACAGGUGCACAAUUAUCUAUUGCCCUGGACAAAGAAAAAUAAAACAGGAUCUAGUAACCUCAUCUCAGCAGAAAUAUCAAGUAUUGGACCACUUUGUGCUUAGCCACAAGUGAUGUUCCCAGCUGCUUUUCUUUUGUUUGCAGUAGAAGACAAAAUGGAUAUUUUGGCUUUGGGGAAGGGACCAAAUUCAGUGUCUCUGAUUGGUGCUGUGAACCAGACCAGGUGCAGUGACUGCACUAUGGAUCAGGUUGGGGAAUAAAGAAAAAGAUCUUUUACCUCUCGGCUGCUGUAGAAAAUAUCAGGUUUUGGGGUAUUUGAAGCCUGCCCUCGAUGGAGUUCUCAUCGGCUGCUUCUCUAGUUAUUCUCAAGUGAUAUUUUGGUGUAGAGCUUGACCAGGUUCAGUGUUUCUUUGGACAGUGCAUGUGAGCCAGCAAAGUAUAUGUGCAUGGGAGCCACGUUGAGUUGCUCCUGCAGUGCUGCUGUGCUGGCAUGCCCCAGAAUUCAUGUUCACCAAGUUGUGGUCGAGUUCCAUAUGCCUACCUACAUAAUCAGUGAUGCCUGCCCAUAUAUAUACAACCCUUUGGUUGGGUUCAGUGAAGGUUUCCUCCCUGCUCACGAAUUCUGUCCAAAGAUAACUGAAGGGUGUUGUGGCGCAUGUGUUCCUGCUAGUAUUAAUCUUCUCCCCAGUCCCUAGAUCGAUUUGCUUAAGCUGGUAUGUGCCACCCCCUGUGCUGGUGACCACGCGUGCAGUUCUCCCACCUCGCCAUGGCUCGGACGUCCUUAGGAGUUGCUGGCCCGUAUGAAGCUUGUUCCGUAAUCAUCUCAGGUCAGUGAAGCUCACACCAUUUACUGCUUGAACUCUACCACUAUUGGUUGCCUGGAACUAGGUGUGAAAUUUGCUCAAACAUAGGCUGUCAGGUUUCUGGAUCCCAGACUUAGUGCAUAAGGCUGAAACUAGGUUUUAGUGUGUUGAGCUCCACUUUGGUGCUUCAUAAAAAUUGUUUUGAAUGUUUUCAACCUAGGGGUACUAUACCAAAGUAGUAUAGCUAUAUCUAAGGAAUAACUUUGGUAAUGUGAGCUUGGUUUGUUUCUGUGUAAAAAUUGGAGAAAAGGUUGACUAAAGUUGGACUGUCAGGCUGAACACAACUGAAUUUUUUUAUUCAGUUCCGUGAACUGAAUUGCAGCAGUAUGCCUAGUUUGGAAUUCAUUUGUGACUGAUUCAUGGGGUUUUGGGUUAAAGUUUACAUAGCAAAGUUGGAGACCAUAGUAAAGAGAGUAAGUUUUGUAAAGUGAGGUGGACUUGGUUCCACAUAAAUUUGGGAGUAAAAGUGGCCAAAAGUGGACUGUCAGGUGUUGGGAUUCAGACUUGGAAUAAUAUUUAAGUCUGAAUUUGUGUGUUUUUAUUCAAUUUGGGUCCUUGUGGUAAUUAAUCCAAGAAGAACUGGGGUAGGGAUGCUAUAGCAAAGUGAAAGGCCAUGUUACGAGGAACAAAUCCCUUUAAGCAGGAAAUAACAGCAGGAAAUUCUAUGUGCUUGAAUCCACAUAAAGUAGGAAUUAACAGCUGUCCAAAACUGAACUGUCAGAGUGACUGUGACUGAAUUUUAUUCAGUUAGCUGAAAUAGCAGUUCAGUGUGGGGGUAACUUUGGGGUACAAUAGAAUUUGCUCUGAAUGUUUUCAAUCAUGGGUUGUUAUACCAAGUUGGUAAAGCUAAAGUCGGAGUAUAACUUUGGCUAAGAAGUUUUGGUCUGUACCAUUGAAAUUGUGAGAUACCAGGGGCUUUAACAGGGAGGUGUGUAGAUGGGGCAGCAGGCCUAAGGUAAUUGAGUUCAGGCUUUCAUUUGAAAACUAACGAAGAUCACCCCUGCAGCUCUCACCUGUGUAUGUGAAUGGAAGUGAGGGGAAACAGAGACUGAAUAUUGGUUGUGGUGUCGAUUAUGUAAAGUUUCAGUAUCUGAAACUGAAUUCGGUUCAAUUCUUUUUCAGUUACCUGAAUUUGAGUUUUUGUGUUUUCACCUCAAGUUGGUGUUCAACUUGAGAUCUGUUUGGGGUCAGCUGGUAGCCAUUGAAACAAAGAUAAAGAGUGAUUAUAGAGGAACAACUCCUAGUAGGGGAGUAUGUCGAGCCCUCAUGUGGAAUUGAGAAGAAGUAUAGUCUUGUGAUGUUUUAUAGUAUUUUAUUUGCAAACAACAUAAGCAUAAGCAUUCAUGUUCAUGUCAUUUCCUGUAGAGCUCCCAAAAUAAAGAGCGAAGAUUCAAGAUGAAGUGGUUGCUAAAGAGGACUCUACUCCAAUGCCUGCUCAUCAAGUGGAUGGAGCCAUCUAACUGGGGUUUAAUAGAGGGAUUUAGACCUCCGUCUCCGCAACAAAGGCAAGCCCCGAUGUAUUUACCCCUUCAUUGUAUUUUUAAAAAGACUUUUAUACACUUAAGUCUAGUCAAAUGUGCAUUAAGUUUAUAGGAAUUGCUUGGAAACUAUUUGAUGCAUUGACUACCUUGAUAUCCAUGCCUUUAUAGAUACUUUGAUGAAGUAUCAAAAUAUGAUUUACAAAAAUGCUUAGCCCUGCUUAGAUCUUGUGGAUAGAGGUUGUCUUUUGCAAUAAUGCCUAGCUCAAGGGUUAUCCUGAGGAAGGAUGGCUUCUACCUGCAAGAAUAUUUUCAUUGGGAGCAUAUGGUGGGAUCUUACUGCAAAGUUCUCCAUAAUGCUCUUUUCAUCCUUAGGAACACAAAACAAUCCUAAGGGUGGAAGUACUUAGCUCUAGACUUGGGAUUGGAACAGGUGAUGCUCCACCCAGGUUAAUUAAGGAUUGGAUGCGUAAGUAGGCCUGCAUGAUCAAGGACUAUCUUAACUGACCACAUGCCCUGGAUAUGGGAAGGGUAAGCUUGAACCCGGCUAUUCCAUACGUGAAAAGACAACCGCACACUGGGUAUGGGAGAUGGUGGGAGUAGCAUGUACCCUCCUGGCUAGAGGCUGGACAGAGGAGUAUUGUGCUCCCGGGUAGAGCGGAUCGGUUCACAUUGUGGAGGAUCUGUGGGAAUCGUUGACAUAUGCAAGGGUUAAGUGCUACAUAUGUGGUGUGGUUAGAGAUCCUCAACUGUGGAGACUUGAUCUCUGACCUGCAACCUAGGUCAGGAUGUAAACAUUAUGAAUAAAAAUGAUGUUGUAUUGAUGAGAUGGUGAAAUUAGACUAGAUGCAACCAGAGUCUAUUAAUAUUUAAUCUGGCGUUAAAAUAUUGAAAGUAAGGACUCACUUUAAUAAGCUAUUUCCGCAGAAGUAUCUAAGUUGAUUCUUGCUAAAGCCUUUUCCUUGAUUCCUAUUUAACCAGCAUAUCCUUGAGAGUCAUUUUUCCUUAGUCGGGUAAGACUGCGAAAGUACACUUCGUACUCAGGGUUUUCGAACCCAUGUUGUUGUAGGUGUUGAGGAGUACUCAAAGUGAUUCGGAGGCUGGACGGCAUUUCCAGUACUGGGGGAGGAUUAGUUAGGCUUGUGUAUAAGCUUUGGAGGGUUCCUACCUUCCUGCUAUUGUAAUAAGUUAUGCACUUUAUAUAUAUCAGGACUUGUAAUAAAUGUAACUCUUCCUAUGUAAUAACCUUCAUUUUUAGAAAUGAAAACAAUGUUUUGUAAAGUCUGCCGCUCUUAUCUCCGAAGUGUGUGUAUCGAAUGUGAU
This 7945-nucleotide long non-coding RNA is filed under the name Zea mays. Its description in RNAcentral is "long non-coding RNA (ZMAY_LNC004332)". The record is from RNAcentral. Lineage: Eukaryota; Viridiplantae; Streptophyta; Magnoliopsida; Poales; Poaceae.